Molecule: ribosomal RNA, 497 nt
Filed under: uncultured bacterium
Lineage: Bacteria
Description: partial 16S ribosomal RNA
Rfam family: Bacterial small subunit ribosomal RNA
Source: RNAcentral
GAUGAACGCUGGCGGCGUGCCUAAUACAUGCAAGUCGAGCGAACAGACGCUGCGCUUGCUCCUCUGACGUUAGCGGCGGACGUGUGAGUAACACGUGGAUACCCUCCCUAUAAUACUGGUAUCACUUCGGGAAACCGGAUCUAAUACCGUAUAAUCUCUUGAACCGCAUUGUUCAAUAGUAAAAUACGGUUUUUCUGUCACUUCUAGCUGCAUCCGCGCUGCAUUAGAUAGUUGUUAAGUUAACGGCCUACCACGGCAACGAUGCGUAGCCGAACUGAGAGGGUGAUAGGCCACACUGGAACUGGAACACGGUCAAGACUCCUAAGGGAGGCAGCAGUAGGGAAUGUGCCGCAAUGGGCGAAAGCCUGACGGAGCAACGCCGCGUGAGUGAUGAAGGUCUUCGGAUCGUAAAAAUCUGUUAUGAGGGAAGAACAAAUGUGUAAGUAAAUAUGCACGUAUUGACGGUACCUAAUAAGAAAGCAACGGCUAACUACGUG